UAACUGAAGAGUUUGAUCAUGGCUCAGAUUGAACGCUGGCGGCAGGCUUAACACAUGCAAGUCGAGCGGGGUGAUGUGCUUCGGUACUGAUCCUAGCGGCGGACGGGUGAGUAAUGCUUAGGAAUCUGCCUAUUAGUGGGGGACAACAUUCCGAAAGGAAUGCUAAUACCGCAUACGCCCUACGGGGGAAAGCAGGGGAUCUUCGGACCUUGCGCUAAUAGAUGAGCCUAAGUCGGAUUAGCUAGUUGGUGGGGUAAAGGCCUACCAAGGCGACGAUCUGUAGCGGGUCUGAGAGGAUGAUCCGCCACACUGGGACUGAGACACGGCCCAGACUCCUACGGGAGGCAGCAGUGGGGAAUAUUGGACAAUGGGCGGAAGCCUGAUCCAGCCAUGCCGCGUGUGUGAAGAAGGCCUUUUGGUUGUAAAGCACUUUAAGCGGGGAGGAGGCUCUUGAGGAUAAUACCCUUGAAGAGUGGACGUUACCCGCAGAAUAAGCACCGGCUAACUCUGUGCCAGCAGCCGCGGUAAUACAGAGGGUGCGAGCGUUAAUCGGAUUUACUGGGCGUAAAGCGUGCGUAGGCGGCUGAAUAAGUCGGAUGUGAAAUCCCCGAGCUUAACUUGGGAAUUGCAUACGAUACUGUUUGGCUAGAGUAUGGGAGAGGAUGGUAGAAUUCCAGGUGUAGCGGUGAAAUGCGUAGAGAUCUGGAGGAAUACCGAUGGCGAAGGCAGCCAUCUGGCCUAAUACUGACGCUGAGGUACGAAAGCAUGGGGAGCAAACAGGAUUAGAUACCCUGGUAGUCCAUGCCGUAAACGAUGUCUACUAGCCGUUGGGUCCUUUGAGGACUUAGUGGCGCAGCUAACGCGAUAAGUAGACCGCCUGGGGAGUACGGUCGCAAGACUAAAACUCAAAUGAAUUGACGGGGGCCCGCACAAGCGGUGGAGCAUGUGGUUUAAUUCGAUGCAACGCGAAGAACCUUACCUGGCCUUGACAUACUAGAAACUUUCCAGAGAUGGAUUGGUGC
RNAcentral lists this ribosomal RNA (1022 nucleotides) under Acinetobacter thutiue. RNAcentral's name for it is "bacterial SSU rRNA". It matches the Rfam family "Bacterial small subunit ribosomal RNA", at positions 1 to 1017 of the family's 1533-position model. The record is from RNAcentral. Lineage: Bacteria; Pseudomonadati; Pseudomonadota; Gammaproteobacteria; Moraxellales; Moraxellaceae.